Non-coding RNA from Novosphingobium barchaimii, 75 nucleotides. Lineage: Bacteria; Pseudomonadati; Pseudomonadota; Alphaproteobacteria; Sphingomonadales; Sphingomonadaceae. The record is from Rfam.
CGACCCUGCCUUUCAGGCAUCCUCUCCCAAAACUUCCAAAGCCCGGUCGCUCGAUCGGGCUUUUUUUUGUCCUGC